Molecule: ribosomal RNA, 446 nt
Filed under: uncultured bacterium
Lineage: Bacteria
Description: partial 16S ribosomal RNA
Rfam family: Bacterial small subunit ribosomal RNA
Source: RNAcentral
CCUACGGGAGGCAGCAGUCGAGAAUCAUUCACAAUGGGGGAAACCCUGAUGGUGCGACGCCGCGUGAGGGAAUGAAGGUCUUCGGAUUGUAAACCCCUGUCAUGUGGGAGCAAAUUAAAAAGAUAGUACCACAAGAGGAAGAGACGGCUAACUCUGUGCCAGCAGCCGCGGGAAUACAGAGGUCUCAAGCGUUGGUCGGAAUCACUGGGCGUAAAGCGUGCGUAGGCUGUUUCGUAAGUCGUGUGUGAAAGGCGCGGGCUCAAGCCGCGGACGGCACAUGAUACUGCGAGACUAGAGUAAUGGAGGGGGAACCGGAAUUCUCGGUGUAGCAGUGAAAUGCGUAGAUAUCGAGAGGAACACUCGUGGCGAAGGCGGGUUCCUGGACAUUAACUGACGCUGAGGCACGAAGGCCAGGGGAGCGAAAGGGAUUAGAUACCCUAGUAGUC